RNAcentral lists this ribosomal RNA (373 nucleotides) under uncultured bacterium. RNAcentral describes it as "bacterial SSU rRNA". It matches the Rfam family "Bacterial small subunit ribosomal RNA", at positions 523 to 898 of the family's 1533-position model. The record is from RNAcentral.
AUACGGAGGAUGCGAGCGUUAUCCGGAUUUAUUGGGUUUAAAGGGUGCGUAGGCGGAAUAAUAAGUCAGUGGUGAAAACCUUCAGCUUAACUGGAGACUUGCCAUUGAUACUGUUAGUCUUGAGUAUGGUUAAGGUAGGCGGAAUGUGUAAUGUAGCGGUGAAAUGCUUAGAUAUUACACAGAACACCAAUUGCGAAGGCAGCUUACUGAGCCAUAACUGACGCUGAUGCACGAAAGCGUGGGGAGCGAACAGGAUUAGAUACCCUGGUAGUCCACGCCGUAAACGAUGAUCACUCGCUGUUGGCGAUACACAGUCAGCGGCUAAGCAAAAGCAUUAAGUGAUCCACCUGGGGAGUACGGCCGCAAGGCUGAA